Molecule: long non-coding RNA, 680 nt
Organism: Rhipicephalus sanguineus (brown dog tick)
Lineage: Eukaryota; Metazoa; Arthropoda; Arachnida; Ixodida; Ixodidae
Exons: 5
Source: RefSeq, a predicted model, not a curated record
CUUUCUUAGGUUUAAUACGCAAUUGUUCUUUAAUUGCGCUUACUGCGAGCCAACACCUGCUCAAAUAGUGGACGAUUUGCUGCGAGCACUGCGCAGACAUCGCCAUCGCCAUCAUGGCACCCGGCGUGUUUGGAGUUCGGAUAGAUCAGACUCUUCGUUGGCCUCGUUUUUAGGUGUUUGAUCCGUGACGUUUCGUCGAAAAAUCACAAGCGCGCAUGCCGUAGGUGUUUGCCUGGUUGCAAGAUCUUGCCGAUUUCAACGUUUUUCCACCUCUUCGGUUGGCGUACGCUGAACUGGACCCUCGCAGCAAGAAUGGCACGUGGGAAUUGACACCGCGAUCGUGGAACACAUGGCUGAUCUGCCUCGAAUAACUGCAAGCCGGCGCGCGCGUAGUGCCGUGGAGAACGAUCAGAAGUCCUGGACGACAAAGACAAAAACUUCAAAGCUGCCUCUGCGAACCCCGGUCCUGGACAACAGCUGGGAGGCUCUGUGUUUAAACGCGUGCACCUUGGACGUCAUGCUCCUGCCUCUGCAAGCCCUUUUGCUGGACGUCAUGGAAGGCCCUCCACUCGAAAGUGUGCACCUUAGACUACACGCUCAUCAAUACCAAGUUCUCUGUCCUUCUCGGCAUGAUUGUAGUGCCAUAUAAUAGUGAGGCAAUAAAUCAUUUUUGCUGGUCA